CCUACGGGUGAGCAGCAGUGGGGAAUAUUGGACAAUGGGCGAAAGCCUGAUCCAGCCAUGCCGCGUGUGUGAAGAAGGCCUUCGGGUUGUAAAGCACUUUCAGUGGGGAAGAAAGCCUUGGGGCUAAUACCCUCGAGGAAGGACAUCACCCACAGAAGAAGCACCGGCUAACUCCGUGCCAGCAGCCGCGGUAAUACGGAGGGUGCGAGCGUUAAUCGGAAUUACUGGGCGUAAAGCGCGCGUAGGCGGUCUGAUAAGCCGGUUGUGAAAGCCCCGGGCUCAACCUGGGAACGGCAUCCGGAACUGUCAGGCUAGAGUGCAGGAGAGGAAGGUAGAAUUCCCGGUGUAGCGGUGAAAUGCGUAGAGAUCGGGAGGAAUACCAGUGGCGAAGGCGGCCUUCUGGACUGACACUGACGCUGAGGUGCGAAAGCGUGGGUAGCAAACAGGAUUAGAUACCCUUGUAGUC
This 466-nucleotide ribosomal RNA is filed under the name Vreelandella stevensii. RNAcentral describes it as "partial 16S ribosomal RNA". It matches the Rfam family "Bacterial small subunit ribosomal RNA", at positions 338 to 795 of the family's 1533-position model. Lineage: Bacteria; Pseudomonadati; Pseudomonadota; Gammaproteobacteria; Oceanospirillales; Halomonadaceae. The record is from RNAcentral.